AGCUCGCUCUAGUAUGUAAGUGUUGUUCUCGCACGCGCGCGCGCACGUACGCAUGUAACCGCCAAUUGCAAUAUUUGAAAAAAGAACCCGAUCAACCACUGUUUUGCUGUUCAGAAGUCCGUCUAUAAUUCAUCAUAAACUAAAGGAACACAGGUCAGAUUCGGACAACGACUUCAAAUUCAUUCGCAGAAUACGCUAAACAAUUGGACGACGGAUACACUGGAUGAUAAUAUAGAUGGUCCAGGAUUAUCUGGGAAGGAAACUACAGGUGUUGAACACAGAAAACCGUUUACAAGAAAACAACUGGAGUUUGUGAAAGCUGCAAGAUAUUAAUCUUGCCGGGUACGCAUUCACUUCACCUUGGUCGAGUGCAGCACAGUGGAUAAAUGUGUUGCUGAAGGAAAACACCAUUGCUAGGAUUCAAACCCACGACACUCUGUUGAAAGGUGAGAGUCAGAACCACUAGACCACGACGCACCCACAGUUAACAAGCUGAUGUCAUACUCCCACUUGUUCUUUUGUAUUUUAUAACAAGAAGUCAUGUUUAUUCAUAUUUUGACCUCCAAGAACUAAAAAGUGGAGUGAAGAUUUAUUUAAUGUAAACACAUGCAUUGCUUGAAAUCAUUUUAUGCUACGUGGGACAUAUCAUACACACGUGUACGAAAAUAUGAAAUUAUUAUGAUUUCAUUUUAUAACAUAAGCCUAACACAUAUUCCUGACGAUCAUGUGCACAUUCCAGUAAUUUUUCCCAAAAUGUUGCUAAACCUUCAAAUCAAAGACUUUGUUAUCAGAUUUUAACGAAAUUGUCAACAUUAUGCUUUUCUGAUUAAUUCUCUUCCUACCUAAAUCUUCCCUUUCCUCAUGCUUUCUUUCUAUGGACCCUUCAUUCUCCUUAUAACUAUGUUAUAUGUAAAAUGUAACCGGUCGUCCAACCCAUUUGAUUGAAGGGCUAGGUACUCUAGACUGAAAGUUAUGUGAUUUAAAUUCAAAGAGUACAUCAGACAAAAAAAAACACUGAAAAUUUCAUCAAAAUUGAAUGAGGAUUAACAAAAUUAUGACGAAUUAAAGUUGUUAUUUUUUUAUAAAACUGUUCUCUGCAAGUCCUCAUGAAUAUACAAGAUCCCAAUUUAUAUAUUUUUUUGUAUUAUAUGAAUUCAAAUUUUGUCCAAGCUAGGUUGUAAAAAAUUACGAUUGACUACUGAUAUACUGUGUAAGACAAAAAUUAUAUUAUUUCUCACACAUAGUUGAGUUAUUCAUCUGAUUCAACACAACAAAAAUAGACAAAAAAUAAAUAAGUGGGAAUCUUGUAUAUUUGAACUAUGGGAAAUAGUUAAAAAAUAGAUGUGCUACUAAGAAUUAUUUUCUAUAUGAUUUGCAAAAUAUUAAAAAAAGAUGUCGCUAUUUUUCUUGUUUUUUUU
This is a long non-coding RNA of Lytechinus pictus (painted urchin), 1418 nucleotides long. RefSeq lists it as uncharacterized. The transcript has 3 exons. Lineage: Eukaryota; Metazoa; Echinodermata; Echinoidea; Temnopleuroida; Toxopneustidae. The record is from RefSeq and is a predicted model, not a curated record.